Molecule: small nucleolar RNA, 131 nt
Organism: Aotus nancymaae (Ma's night monkey)
Lineage: Eukaryota; Metazoa; Chordata; Mammalia; Primates; Aotidae
Source: Ensembl
AUCGAGGCUAGAGUCACGCUUGGGUAUCAGCUAUUGCCUGAGUGUGCUAGAGUCCUCGGAGAGUAAACUGCUGACCUUAUUCACUGGCUGUGGGCCUUAUGGCACAGUCAGCCACCAGGUUAGAGACAUGC